AAGACCUUGCGCUCUUUGAGCGGCCGAUGUCAGAUUAGCUAGUUGGUGAGGUAACGGCUUACCAAGGCGACGAUCUGUAGCGGGUCUGAGAGGAUGAUCCGCCACACUGGAACUGAGACACGGUCCAGACUCCUACGGGAGGCAGCAGUGGGGAAUUUUGGACAAUGGGCGCAAGCCUGAUCCAGCCAUGCCGCGUGAGUGAAGAAGGCCUUCGGGUUGUAAAGCUCUUUCGGCCGGGAAGAAAUCGCAUGGGUUAAUACCCUGUGUGGAUGACGGUACCGGAAUAAGAAGCACCGGCUAACUACGUG
Molecule: ribosomal RNA, 308 nt
Filed under: uncultured bacterium
Lineage: Bacteria
Description: bacterial SSU rRNA
Rfam family: Bacterial small subunit ribosomal RNA
Source: RNAcentral